CGUCUGCCACUCUCGCCUGCAGCGCGCGGAGUGGUGACUCCUCUGAGCGUGUCAGCGGCGAGAGGAGGGGCGGGAAAGUGGCUCCCGGCUUGCACGCUGCGGUCCUCCUCCUCUCCUCCGCCUGCCUCCUCCCCCUGGUGCUGCAGUGCCGGGCGGCGGCGUGGCGAGAGUACCAGCGGUGCGCAGGGAGUCACGGCGCGCGGGGGAGGCGGGACCCGCGCGCCACUCGCGGUGCUCCGGCAAGUCGCGGUGCUGAGGCGCUGCUGCGGUGUGGGACUGGGGCAGGGGGCGGGGAAGGAGAGCCACCUCCAAGUGGUAGGUACUUCUGGAGAAGUCAGGGCUCUGAGUUUGUAGCAGGUGAAGGAGAGGGGCGGCAGUCCUUAAUUAGUCACCAACUGUGACUGUGCGUUGCGCACUUGGCGGCGCCCCGGGUCAGGUCCAGCGUGAGACGCGAGGGAGUUCUGACUGCUGGACUCUGUUAGCACCGGACAAAAAGAGGGAGACCCCAACUCGAGCUUCACUGUUCCAAAGCGGUGGGCCAGGCGGCUGGAGAGAAACUCGCUCCCGUGAGGCCACACCCAGGCCUGGCGCACCCACCCCGCGGCAGCAGUGGAGGGCGUCGCCCUCCCGGGCCUUCCGACGCAGACCCUGCCAUCCGGAUGCUGCGGGAAGUAGGGCAUCCUCACGUCCCUGACUCCUCCGGCUCCGCGCGCUCACGGAACCCAAGUGGAGUGGGAAGCGGUCACACAGGCGUGUGCCGUCCCCGAAAUCGUUGCUCCUGUGGUGGUGACCCAAAGCGAGACAAAGCGCCGCGCCAAUACGGGCUGCAGUGAUUGGAACUCAAACACACACAUCUCUCCGCGAAUGUGUUCCAUCCGUGUAAAUAUGCCUGGGUGAUUGAAUGGAUGGCUGAAUGAACGCUGUGUGGAUAGAAAUAUAAAUGUUACAUGUAUAAUACAGGCGCCGGGGAAGGAGAGCUGUCAGGCACCCCCAGGCUGGAGCCUCCUGCCCAGAGGAGCCGGUGGAGACAGGCGGUUCGCCCAGGGCGGUGUUGUUAGCUUGGGCUUUCCAGUUCGAUUUGUGCCACUAUGCAGGAUACUGUGAAGAGAAGAAAAUGGAGACAACUCUUGGCCUCUCAUUUUCCCUCCUCUCUGGUUCAGACACUCUGGCACUAAAAGUUAUGAUUCUCAUGUGCUGUUGAACCUACACUUCCUUGCUGGUCUGUCUUGUUCCGGUGAGAGGCUUUGCAGUCUGUGACCAUGGUGCUAUGAGAUGGUCAGGCAAUAUGAAAAUUAGUGAACGUGCUCAUUUUCAUUUCGUGGAUUCUUCUUAGUAAAAUAAUUAUUUAAAUAGUUAAAUAAUUUAAAUAGUUAAAUAAUUUAAAUAAUUAUUUAGGCUAAAAUUAAUGUGCUGCUACUAUGACAAGGAAGUGCCUAUGAAUCCAGCAUUGGAAAUACAAUUGUGAAAUUAAAAAAUAAAUCCUAUCUGGA
RNAcentral lists this long non-coding RNA (1490 nucleotides) under Homo sapiens (human). RNAcentral describes it as "SV2C antisense RNA 1 (SV2C-AS1)". Lineage: Eukaryota; Metazoa; Chordata; Mammalia; Primates; Hominidae. The record is from RNAcentral.